CUGGGCGCUAAAAGUUAACAGCGUCCGCAGGACACUCAGGCUUUAAUCAGAACUGGAGGUCAGAGAACACCAGAGGUCUUUGCUAAAAGAUGCGGGUUAAUCAUGGACGGAUCACGGUGGAGUGGAUGGCACUCCACAAGCUUUGCUGAGUGGAUUAAGAUGGAGAUUUUCUUCAUCCAAGUCUUCGAUUUCUUCAUCAACUUUUAGCACAAUGUUAAAGAACGUGAUGCUCAAACCUCAAAUCUACAACGGAUAUACGGCAGAGACAGAGGAGCUUUGAAAUGUAAAUCUCAUUGGAUCUCCCGUCGAAGGGAUUUUAAUUAAAUUGAUGUACCUUAUUUACCCUGGAUUGGAGGGAAUUCUCAGCUCUGAAAGAUCACAUUCAAGCAGAUUUAGAAAGGAUUUGACACAUAUUGAUAUUGUAUAGAGUCAGUUUUUAAUUCUUUUCAAAUCAUGUUUAGUUAAAGUGCUCAGAUGAUUUCUGUGCUUUGGUGGUGCAAAAAAGUCAUUUUGUGCUGUUUUCACACUUAAUGAAUUGAAAUAAUUAUUAAAACUGAUACGUUACCUUUCUCAAAAAGUUUUGUUUGACCACUCAAUAAAGAGAAAGUCAACCAGUUGGGUCUGAACACACGGAUGACCUUGAAAAGGACUUUCGCCUGUCCUGGAAAAAUGUAUACAAAGUAGAUGUUCACACACAAACACACAAAACUUCUGGGCUAUUUUCAAUAGGUUCAAAAGGGGUUGUAUACGUUUACUGGGUUGUUUUAACCCAUUGUUGGGUCAAAUAUAAAACAAUUCUGGGUUAAAUGAACCCGAUGGCUGGGUUAUUUUCUUUUUGACCCAACGCUGGGUUAAAAAUAACUCAACUUUUUUUUGGAACUAGCUUAAUUAAUUAAAAAUCGAUAUAGGUCUCUGUAAAUGACCUAAAUGACCUUUUAUUGCACAGCCUGACCCCCAAAAUGUGACAAGAGAU
Molecule: non-coding RNA, 973 nt
Organism: Misgurnus anguillicaudatus (oriental weatherfish)
Lineage: Eukaryota; Metazoa; Chordata; Actinopteri; Cypriniformes; Cobitidae
Source: RefSeq, a predicted model, not a curated record